Molecule: ribosomal RNA, 253 nt
Filed under: uncultured bacterium
Lineage: Bacteria
Description: partial 16S ribosomal RNA
Rfam family: Bacterial small subunit ribosomal RNA
Source: RNAcentral
AACGUAGGACGCAAGCGUUAUCCGGAAUUACUGGGCGUAAAGCGCGUGUAGGUGGUUGCAUAAGUCGCUGUUGAAAGCUCCCGGCUAAACUGGGAGAGGUGCGGUGAGACUGUGCGGCUAGAGUAUGGGAGAGGGAUGCAGAAUUCCGGGUGUAGUGGUGAAAUGCGUAGAGAUCCGGAGGAAUACCAGAGGCGAAGGCGGCAUCCUGGCCUAAAACUGACACUGAGACGCGAAAGCAUGGGGAGCGAACGGG